This 828-nucleotide ribosomal RNA is filed under the name Microbacterium sp. H100. Its description in RNAcentral is "bacterial SSU rRNA". It matches the Rfam family "Bacterial small subunit ribosomal RNA", at positions 68 to 905 of the family's 1533-position model. The record is from RNAcentral. Lineage: Bacteria; Bacillati; Actinomycetota; Actinomycetes; Micrococcales; Microbacteriaceae.
GGUGAACACGGAGCUUGCUCUGUGGGAUCAGUGGCGAACGGGUGAGUAACACGUGAGCAACCUGCCCCUGACUCUGGGAUAAGCGCUGGAAACGGCGUCUAAUACUGGAUAUGUGACGUGACCGCAUGGUCUGCGUCUGGAAAGAAUUUCGGUUGGGGAUGGGCUCGCGGCCUAUCAGCUUGUUGGUGAGGUAAUGGCUCACCAAGGCGUCGACGGGUAGCCGGCCUGAGAGGGUGACCGGCCACACUGGGACUGAGACACGGCCCAGACUCCUACGGGAGGCAGCAGUGGGGAAUAUUGCACAAUGGGCGCAAGCCUGAUGCAGCAACGCCGCGUGAGGGACGACGGCCUUCGGGUUGUAAACCUCUUUUAGCAGGGAAGAAGCGAAAGUGACGGUACCUGCAGAAAAAGCGCCGGCUAACUACGUGCCAGCAGCCGCGGUAAUACGUAGGGCGCAAGCGUUAUCCGGAAUUAUUGGGCGUAAAGAGCUCGUAGGCGGUUUGUCGCGUCUGCUGUGAAAUCCGGAGGCUCAACCUCCGGCCUGCAGUGGGUACGGGCAGACUAGAGUGCGGUAGGGGAGAUUGGAAUUCCUGGUGUAGCGGUGGAAUGCGCAGAUAUCAGGAGGAACACCGAUGGCGAAGGCAGAUCUCUGGGCCGUAACUGACGCUGAGGAGCGAAAGGGUGGGGAGCAAACAGGCUUAGAUACCCUGGUAGUCCACCCCGUAAACGUUGGGAACUAGUUGUGGGGUCCAUUCCACGGAUUCCGUGACGCAGCUAACGCAUUAAGUUCCCCGCCUGGGGAGUACGGCCGCAAGGCUAAAACUCAAA